RNAcentral lists this ribosomal RNA (497 nucleotides) under uncultured bacterium. RNAcentral describes it as "partial 16S ribosomal RNA". It matches the Rfam family "Bacterial small subunit ribosomal RNA", at positions 28 to 507 of the family's 1533-position model. The record is from RNAcentral.
GAUGAACGCUGGCGGCGUGCCUAAUACAUGCAAGUCGAGCGAACAGACGAGGAGCUUGCUCCUCUGACGUUAGCGGCGGACGGGUGAGUAACACGUGGAUAACCUACCUAUAAGACUGGGAUAACUUCGGGAAACCGGAGCUAAUACCGGAUAAUAUAUUGAACCGCAUGGUUCAAUAGUGAAAGACGGUUUUGCUGUCACUUAUAGAUGGAUCCGCGCCGCAUUAGCUAGUUGGUAAGGUAACGGCUUACCAAGGCAAUGAUGCGUAGCCGACCUGAGAGGUUGAUCGGCCACACUGGAACUGAGACACGGUCCAGACUCCUACGGGAGGCAGCAGUAGGGAAUCUUCCGCAAUGGGCGAAAGCCUGACGGAGCAACGCCGCGUGAGUGAUGAAGGUCUUCGGAUCGUAAAACUCUGUUAUUAGGGAAGAACAAAUGUGUAAGUAACUAUGCACGUCUUGACGGUACCUAAUCAGAAAGCCACGGCUAACUACGUG